UAGAGUGUAUUCGCAGGCCUUUCACUUAGGAGGUCAAGGGUUUUUCCUCUCAGCUCACUGCAACAUGGACCAACAGAGCUCAUUCCACUGUUUCGGGCUGUUCCUAGGAAUGCAGGAGAAAGGGUCAGUAAGUUUCGGAGUGGACUAUGAAUUCUCGGCGAGGUCAAAGCCCGCGGAAGAUUUCAUAAGCAAAUACAAAGGAAACUACACAUUCACAGGAGGGAAAGCAGUUGGUUACAGAAACUUGUUUGGGAUUGCGUGGACGUCUUUUAUUGCAGAGGAUAGUCAAUACUUCAUCAAUGGCAUCCUCCAUCUGAGGGCAGAGCUUACCAUCAA
RNAcentral lists this long non-coding RNA (336 nucleotides) under Capsella rubella. RNAcentral describes it as "long non-coding RNA (CRUB_LNC002896)". The record is from RNAcentral. Lineage: Eukaryota; Viridiplantae; Streptophyta; Magnoliopsida; Brassicales; Brassicaceae.